UGAGGAAUAUUGGUCAAUGGGCGCAAGCCUGAACCAGCCAUCCCGCGUGCAGGAAGACGGCCCUAUGGGUUGUAAACUGCUUUUCCAGGGGGAGAAUUUUUCUGUCGUGACAGGAAUUGACGGUACCCUGGGAAUAAGCAUCGGCUAACUCCGUGCCAGCAGCCGCGGUAAUACGGAGGAUGCGAGCGUUAUCCGGAUUUAUUGGGUUUAAAGGGUGCGUAGGCGGAUAGAUAAGUCAGUGGUGAAAACCUGCAGCUUAACUGUAGACUUGCCGUUGAUACUGUCAGUCUUGAGUAUGGUCAAGGUAGGCGGAAUGUGUAAUGUAGCGGUGAAAUGCUUAGAUAUUACACAGAACACCGAUUGCGAAGGCAGCUUACUGGGCCGCAACUGACGCUGAUGCACGAAAGCGUGGGGAGCGAACA
RNAcentral lists this ribosomal RNA (422 nucleotides) under uncultured prokaryote. Its description in RNAcentral is "bacterial SSU rRNA". It matches the Rfam family "Bacterial small subunit ribosomal RNA", at positions 355 to 774 of the family's 1533-position model. The record is from RNAcentral.